GUAGGGAAUAUUGGGCAAUGGACGAAAGUCUGACCCAGCCACGCCGCGUGAAGGAUGAAUGCCCUAUGGGUUGUAAACUUCUUUUGUAUGGGAAGAAAAUUCCGAACGUGUUCGGAGCUGACGGUACCAUAAGAAUAAGCAUCGGCUAACUCCGUGCCAGCAGCCGCGGUAAUACGGAGGAUGCAAGCGUUGUCCGGAUUCAUUGGGUUUAAAGGGUGCGUAGGCGGAGAAUUAAGUCAGUGGUGAAAGCUUACAGCUUAACUGUAAAAAUGCCAUUGAAACUGAUUUUCUUGAGUUCGAUUGAGGUAGAUGGAAUGUAUCAUGUAGCGGUGAAAUGCUUAGAUAUGAUACAGAACACCAAUUGCGAAGGCAGUCUACUAAGUCGAUACUGACGCUGAGGCACGAAAGCAUGGGGAGCAAACAGGAUUAGAAACCCUGGUAGUCC
RNAcentral lists this ribosomal RNA (445 nucleotides) under uncultured bacterium. RNAcentral describes it as "bacterial SSU rRNA". It matches the Rfam family "Bacterial small subunit ribosomal RNA", at positions 354 to 796 of the family's 1533-position model. The record is from RNAcentral.